This 484-nucleotide ribosomal RNA is filed under the name uncultured bacterium. RNAcentral's name for it is "partial 16S ribosomal RNA". It matches the Rfam family "Bacterial small subunit ribosomal RNA", at positions 30 to 507 of the family's 1533-position model. The record is from RNAcentral.
AUUGAACGCUGGCGGCAGGCCUAACACAUGCAAGUCGAGCGGAUGAAGGGAGCUUGCUCCUGGAUUCAGCGGCGGACGGGUGAGUAAUGCCUAGGAAUCUGCCUGGUCGUGGGGGAUAACGUCCGGAAACGGGCGCUAAUACCGCAUACGUCCUGAGGGAGAAAGUGGGGGAUCUUCGGACCUCACGCUAUCAGGUGAGCCUAGGUCGGAUUAGCUAGUUGGUGGGGUAAAGGCCUACCAAGGCGACGAUCCGUAACUGGUCUGAGAGGAUGAUCAGUCACACUGGAACUGAGACACGGUCCAGACUCCUACGGGAGGCAGCGGUGGGGAAUAUUAGACAAUGGGCGAAAGCCGGAUCCAGCCAUGCCGCGUGUGUGAAGAAGGUCUUCGGAUUGUAAAGCACUUUAAGUUGGGAGGAAGGGCAGUAAGUUAAUCCCUUGCUGUUUUGACGUUACCAACAGAAUAAGCACCGGCUAACUUCGUG